GUCCACGCCGUAAACGAUGAGUGCUCGAUGCUGCCCCGAUUGGGGGGCAGUGUCUAAGCUAACGCGUUAAGCACUCCACCUGGGGAGUACGCUCGCAAGGGUGAAACUCAAAGGAAUUGACGGGGGCCCCGCACAAGCGGUGGAGCAUGUGGAUUAAUUCGAUGCAACGCGAGGAACCUUACCCAGGCUCGAACACCAGAGGACAGCCCCUGAAAGGGGGUCUCCCGCAAGGGCCUUUGGUGAGGUGCUGCAUGGCUGUCGU
RNAcentral lists this ribosomal RNA (262 nucleotides) under uncultured bacterium. RNAcentral's name for it is "partial 16S ribosomal RNA". It matches the Rfam family "Bacterial small subunit ribosomal RNA", at positions 793 to 1055 of the family's 1533-position model. The record is from RNAcentral.